UGCAAAGGUUUUAAGUGGGUGUGAAGAAAUGCUGUAAAUUUAAGAAUGAUUUCAAUAUUUGGUGUGACUAUUUCUCUGAUUGGCCCCAAAUUUGAGAAGAGAAGAGAAGAGAAGAGAAGAGAAGAAGAGAAGAGAAGAAGAGAAGAGAGGAGCCCAACAUCAUCUAGUCUGUCUGGAAUUACAUGAAGACACAGAAGGAUUUGAUCCAGCCUACAUCUAGUACUCCAAGAUGUCUGGAAGAACCUACCUUCCGAGUAUCUUCAAAAAGUGUGUGCAAAUGGACUUAGAAUAGUUGCUGUAAAAAUAGUUGAUGCAAUCAAAAGGUUUUUCUGGUUUUUUUUGCAUGGGGUUGCAACUUUUUGUUGAGGGCAAGGAAGCACCUUCUGAUUUUCUUUUAACCCCUGUUAAAUAAAAUUCUAUGAUUUGUAAUUAAACUAUUAGCAUGCAUGAAA
Silurus meridionalis is the source of this 452-nucleotide long non-coding RNA. RefSeq lists it as uncharacterized. Lineage: Eukaryota; Metazoa; Chordata; Actinopteri; Siluriformes; Siluridae. The transcript is spliced from 2 exons. The record is from RefSeq and is a predicted model, not a curated record.